RNAcentral lists this ribosomal RNA (253 nucleotides) under uncultured prokaryote. RNAcentral's name for it is "partial 16S ribosomal RNA". It matches the Rfam family "Bacterial small subunit ribosomal RNA", at positions 524 to 776 of the family's 1533-position model. The record is from RNAcentral.
UACGUAGGGACCAAGCGUUGUUCGGAUUUACUGGGCGUAAAGGGCGCGUAGGCGGCAUGACAAGUCACUUGUGAAAUCUCCGGGCUUAACUCGGAACGGCCAAGUGAUACUGUCGCGCUAGAGUGCGGAAGGGGCAAUCAGAAUUCUUGGUGUAGCGGUGAAAUGCGUAGAUAUCGAGAGGAACACCUGCGGCGAAGGCGGCUUUCUGGACAGUUACCGACGCUGAGGCACGAAAGCUAGGGGAGCAAACAGG